Molecule: long non-coding RNA, 960 nt
Filed under: Physcomitrium patens
Lineage: Eukaryota; Viridiplantae; Streptophyta; Bryopsida; Funariales; Funariaceae
Description: long non-coding RNA (PPAT_LNC001422)
Source: RNAcentral
UGCUACCCCGCAAGAGCCCUACGUCUGGGAACAAGUGGCCGCAUCCUCCAGAAAAGCACUUGGCAUGCGGUACCGCCUUCUCCCCUACUUCUACAGCCUCAUGUUUGAAGCUCACAACAAGGGCGCUCCCAUUGCCCGGCCUCUCUUCUUUGCUUUCCCCGAGGACGCCCAGACCUUGAAGGUUAGCGACCAGUUCCUGCUCGGGAGCGGUGUCAUGGUAACCCCUGUUGUGCUUCCCAAGGUGACGACCGUGAAUGGCUACUUCCCCAAGGGCACAUGGUACAACCUCUUCGAUGUCGCCUCGAAAGUGGAAAGCGAGGGAAAGUAUGUGGAACUUGCUGCUCCAUUAGACUCCAUCAACGUCCACCUCCACGAGGGCACCAUUUUGCCGAUGCAAGAGAGCGCAUUGACAUCAGCCGAAGUGAUGAAGACGCCCUUCACGCUCAUGGUGGCAUUCCCAGCUUCGAAAUCCUUGGGGUAUGCCACAGGCAAGCUUUUCCUGGAUAAUGGUGACGAUAUCGAGAUGGUGAUUCGAAAGGGCAGGUCGACAUUUGUGCGGUUCUUCGCACAGCAGUCUGAGCAGAGAGGUGUCCUGGCGUCGAAGGUGGUGAGCGGGGACUACGCCACCCAGGAGGACUUGGUUGUGCAAACUGUGGUCAUCCUUGGGGCCAACAAUGCGCCGUCUUCUCUCACAAUCAACGGAGUGCCAGUGUCAUCACCCAUCUCCUCGUCGUUCGAUGCUGCAAUUCCUUCCGUCACCAUCUCAGGUCUGAGUUUGUCUGUUGGUAGUGAGUUUGAGCUCCACUGGACCACGCAAGCUCAUUCAACGAUCUAGACCGGAGCUCGAUCGAUUGCGCAUGUGGGAGCUGUCUGUUCGGAAAAUGGUGGAUAAACCGGAGCUGUAAAUUACGAGUCUAGAAUUGGUUUAUACAAUUUUGUGACGAGGGUCCACGCACCACU